CCUACGGGUGGCAGCAGUGGGGAAUAUUGCACAAUGGGGGAAACCCUGAUGCAGCAACGCCGCGUGAAGGAAGACGGUUUUCGGAUUGUAAACUUCUAUCAAUAGGGAAGAAAGAAAUGACGGUACCUAAAUAAGAAGCCCCGGCUAACUACGUGCCAGCAGCCGCGGUAAUACGUAGGGGGCAAGCGUUAACCGGAAUUACUGGGUGUAAAGGGAGAGUAGGCGGCAAGGUAAGCGAUAUGUGAAAGCCUUAAGCUUAACUUAAGGAUGGCAUAACGAACUAUCUAGCUAGAGUACAGGAGAGGAAAGCGGAAGUCCUAGUGUAGCGGUGAAAUGCGUAGAUAUCAGGAGGAACACCGGCGGCGAAGGCGGCCUGCUGGACCGCGACUGACGUUGAGGCUCGAAAGCGUGGGGAGCGAACAGGAUUAGAUACCCCUGUAGUC
Molecule: ribosomal RNA, 443 nt
Filed under: uncultured bacterium
Lineage: Bacteria
Description: partial 16S ribosomal RNA
Rfam family: Bacterial small subunit ribosomal RNA
Source: RNAcentral